AUUGAACGCUGGCGGCAGGCCUAACACAUGCAAGUCGAGCGGAUGAAGGGAGCUUGCUCCUGGAUUCAGCGGCGGACGGGUGAGUAAUGCCUAGGAAUCUGCCUGGUAGUGGGGGAUAACGUCCGGAAACGGGCGCUAAUACCGCAUACGUCCUGAGGGAGAAAGUGGGGGAUCUUCGGACCUCACGCUAUCAGAUGAGCCUAGGUCGGAUUAGCUAGUUGGUGGGGUAAAGGCCUACCAAGGCGACGAUCCGUAACUGGUCUGAGAGGAUGAUCAGUCACACUGGAACUGAAACACGGUCAAGACUCCUACGGGAGGGAGCAGUGGGGAAUAUUGGACAAUGGGCGAAAGCCUGAUCCAGCCAUGCCGCGUGUGUGAAGAAGGUCUUCGGAUUGUAAAGCACUUUAAGUUGGGAGGAAGGGCAGUAAGUUAAUACCUUGCUGUUUUGACGUUACCAACAGAAUAAGCACCGGCUAACUUCGUG
RNAcentral lists this ribosomal RNA (484 nucleotides) under uncultured bacterium. RNAcentral describes it as "partial 16S ribosomal RNA". It matches the Rfam family "Bacterial small subunit ribosomal RNA", at positions 30 to 507 of the family's 1533-position model. The record is from RNAcentral.